Molecule: ribosomal RNA, 253 nt
Filed under: uncultured bacterium
Lineage: Bacteria
Description: partial 16S ribosomal RNA
Rfam family: Bacterial small subunit ribosomal RNA
Source: RNAcentral
UACGUAGGGUGCGAGCGUUGUCCGGAAUUACUGGGCGUAAAGAGCUCGUAGGUGGUUUGUCGCGUUGUUCGUGAAAACUCACAGCUUAACUGUGGGCGUGCGGGCGAUACGGGCAGACUGGAGUACUGCAGGGGAGACUGGAAUUCCUGGUGUAGCGGUGGAAUGCGCAGAUAUCGGGAGGAACACCAGUGGCGAAGGCGGCCUUCUGGGCCUGUCCUGACGCUGAGGCGCGAAAGCGUGGGGAGCGAACCGG